GGAAUUGUUCGCAAUGGGCGCAAGCCUGACGACGCAACGCCGCGUGGGGGAUGAAGGUCUUCGGAUUGUAAACCCCUGUCGAGCGGGACGAAUAGCCCGCGACCUAAUACGUCGUGGGAAUGACGGUACCGCUAAAGGAAGCCACGCAUAACCCUGUGCCAGCAGCCGCGGUAAGACAGAGGUGGCAAGCGUUGUUCGGAAUUACUGGGCGUAAAGGGCGCGUAGGCGGCCUUCUAAGUCAGACGUGAAAUCCCCCGGCUUAACCUGGGAACUGCGUCUGAUACUGGGAGGCUAGAGUGCGGGAGAGGGAUGCGGAAUUCCAGGUGUAGCGGUGAAAUGCGUAGAUAUCUGGAGGAACACCGGUGGCGAAGGCGGCAUCCUGGACCGACACUGACGCUGAGGCGCGAAAGCUAGGGUAGCAAAC
RNAcentral lists this ribosomal RNA (424 nucleotides) under uncultured bacterium. RNAcentral's name for it is "bacterial SSU rRNA". It matches the Rfam family "Bacterial small subunit ribosomal RNA", at positions 358 to 773 of the family's 1533-position model. The record is from RNAcentral.